This 1225-nucleotide long non-coding RNA is filed under the name Homo sapiens (human). Its description in RNAcentral is "HSALNT0201851". The record is from RNAcentral. Lineage: Eukaryota; Metazoa; Chordata; Mammalia; Primates; Hominidae.
UGGAAUCCUUCUCACGAGGCCUCAUCUCUCUGACUUUCGUCGGGAAAUGUUCUCUGCUUUUAAAGGAUCAUGUAAUUAUUUUGAGCCUACCCGAUAAUCCAGGAUAAUCCCCUCAUCUAAAAAUCUGUUACCUUAACCACAUCUGCAAAGUCCCUGUUGCCGUGUAAUGUAAGCUAUUCACAGGUUCUGGGGAUUAGGAAAAGGACAUCUUUGGUGGGGGCCUUAUUCAGCCUACCACAUAGAGAUUAGUACCUGAAAAGCCAGCAGGUGAGAAGCUAGACAGAGCAGCCGGUGGCAGCUAAAGGAGAAAGGGGGCGAGAGCUGGAGAAGUCGCACUUCCGCCGAUGGCGCAGCAAAGGGGAUGUUGCCCUGGAGGACUCAGGGAACGGAACUGGGCUAUCAGCCGAGAAUGGGGCUCCACUCAAAAGGAGGAACCAACAGGAGACACAAGGAACCCCAGCAGGAAGAAGUCGGAGAUGGAGGAGGGGAAGUCAUAGCUGGAGGAGACGUGUGUUAGGAAGCUACAAUGGCAGCUCCCUAGUGGAGGUGUUUCGGAAAAACUCCGAAGAUUCCACUUGAGAAAAUCAUCGGCCUUCAGACAACGUCUAUGCCAGAUAAUGCUACCAAAUCACAACCUUGCCUUUCCUCCCUACUGCUGUUCUGAUGUGGGAGGACCCAAAGGCAGCAGAAGAGCCAAAGAAGAGUAGCAGAAAGGCAUAUCCACAGCUCUUCAAAUAAGCAAUGUGAUGUUAGCAAAAGUGCAGGGGCUCCUUGAGAACUUUCCAGGGCUAACCAGCUGCUGAGGAGUGGCCUCCAGGAAAGAGAGAAGCACUCUGAUUCAGGCAGUGAUUUACACCUAAAAUACCAACUCCAUCAUAUCUUCAGAACAAUUCUUCUAGACCUUGCAUCUAAAUAUGGAGUCAUUAACUAACAACGAACAAAACCUCUGGAUGGCCGAAGGACCUAGGCUAUACAGAAAGCUGUGAAUUACCAAUGAGAACGCAGGAUCAGCAUGUGCAAAGAUGAAGAGGCAUAAGGACUGACCAGUGGGUCACGGCAAUGAGACAUUUACUGCUGACCUCCAAGAGAAGACUUCCAUUGAAUGAGAGGAAGAUCUACACUACUAAUGAUCAAACUUACCUGGAGCAGUAUCUGACACAGAUAUGUGUUGAGUGAAUGGAUGAAUAAAUAGAUAGAAGGAAGAUCCUCCAACUAUGAAGUUUCU